RNAcentral lists this ribosomal RNA (274 nucleotides) under uncultured bacterium. RNAcentral describes it as "partial 16S ribosomal RNA". It matches the Rfam family "Bacterial small subunit ribosomal RNA", at positions 523 to 796 of the family's 1533-position model. The record is from RNAcentral.
AUACAGAGGGUGCAAGCGUUAUUCGGAAUUACUGGGCGUAAAACGCGCGUAGGCGGAUGAUUAAGUCAGUUGUGAAAGCCCUGGGCUCAACCUAGGAACUGCAUCUGAUACUGGUCGUCUAGAGUUUAAGAGAGGGAAGUGGAAUUCCAGGUGUAGCAGUGAAAUGCGUAGAUAUCUGGAGGAACAUCAGUGGCGAAGGCGACUUCCUGGCUUAAAACUGACGCUGAGGUGCGAAAGCGUGGGUAGCGAACGGGAUUAGAAACCCCAGUAGUCC